ACUUCUAGUGGGACUUCCGAGAUGGCAGCCACUCAGUCCCCCCCUCCCCAUCUCCAAGCUUCCUAUUUGAUUUGGUCUUGGCAUUCCUCUUCCUUCUCUUCAUUCUGCAGCACAACUCAGCACGUUUGAUAUUGGUAUUCAGCACAUUGGACAGCGCCAGGAUGAGAAUCAUCCCUGUAACAAAGAUUUUAAAAGGAAGAAGAGGAAUAAAAAUCAGUUAAUCAAAGCCAGCCUUCACAUCUGUUCUGACAUUAUGUGCAAUACUCCAUAUCCAUGGUAUUCUACUUCUACAAAAAAAAGGGAACAGAACAAUAAGAGGACUUAAAGGACAAGGGGCCAAUAGCAUACAGAGGGAGAAGCCUUAACACAAUUGGCCUCCAUGUACCUGAAGCAGCCUUCCAGGAUUGACUGGAGGACAGAUAACGCCAGCUACUAAUCCCAGGGAGAGAGAAAGUGAAGAGAUCUUCCUGUCACCCUCUCCACUGAUAUCCACCCUCCUCCAGGAAGUUUGUCAGGAUUCAUAGAGCAUCAGCCCUUGAAUUGCCUGGUUCCUGUCCGGGAUAAAAGUAUUUGACCUUCAUGUAUACUUAUUGUGUAUCUAAGUUAUAUUUUAAUAUAUUUAACAUCUACUGGUCAUCCUGCCAUCUAG
Molecule: long non-coding RNA, 649 nt
Filed under: Sarcophilus harrisii (Tasmanian devil)
Lineage: Eukaryota; Metazoa; Chordata; Mammalia; Dasyuromorphia; Dasyuridae
Description: lncRNA (ENSSHAG00000028218.1)
Source: RNAcentral